UACGGAGGAGGCAAGCGUUAUCCGGAAUUAUUGGGCGUAAAGCGUCCGUAGGUGGAUGUUCAAGUCAGUUGUUAAAGCGUGGAGCUUAACUCCAUAAGGGCAAUUGAAACUGAGCGUCUGGAGUGCGAUAGGGGCAAGGGGAAUUCCCAGUGUAGCGGUGAAAUGCGUAGAUAUUGGGAAGAACAUCGGUGGCGAAAGCGCCUUGCUGGGUCUGCACUGACACUGAGGGACGAAAGCUAGGGGAGCGAAAGGGAUUAGAUACCCCUGUAGUCCUAGCCGUAAACGAUGGAUACUAGGCGUUGUCCGUAUCGACCCGGGCAGUGUCGUAGCUAACGCGUUAAGUAUCCCGCCUGGGGAGU
This 359-nucleotide ribosomal RNA is filed under the name uncultured Oculatellaceae cyanobacterium. Its description in RNAcentral is "bacterial SSU rRNA". It matches the Rfam family "Bacterial small subunit ribosomal RNA", at positions 524 to 881 of the family's 1533-position model. The record is from RNAcentral. Lineage: Bacteria; Bacillati; Cyanobacteriota; Cyanophyceae; Oculatellales; Oculatellaceae.